Molecule: long non-coding RNA, 1322 nt
Organism: Cydia pomonella (codling moth)
Lineage: Eukaryota; Metazoa; Arthropoda; Insecta; Lepidoptera; Tortricidae
Exons: 2
Source: RefSeq, a predicted model, not a curated record
AGCUAUCCAAUGUAGCUCACCUUAUCUGUAGUUUGAAGCUAACCUUUUUACUUACAAUAAAAAAUAAAUAAGGAACAAAAAUGAUUUCUUUUAAAUGAUAGAGAUACUCUUCCAUCCUUCUUUGACUGCCUUAAUAUGGGGUGAUCUUAGCGUGACAGUAUGAACAGUCAACGAUUUCCAUUGGUAUAUAUAUUUUAGCGGUAGUGGUUCGUAACAAGCGCGGCAACGAACUCCAGAUGGCCGAAGGCUACAGUUUCUACCGCCACAAAUGUUCUAGCCAGGCCCUGACGGACUUCUGGUACUGCACCUACGCAUGCAUGGUGAACACCACCAAAGAUGGACAAGUUCUUAGGAUGAGGCUAGAGCCUAACCAUGCGCCACCAAAAUGUGUCAUUAUAGAUGGCAUUUUAUACAAAUUGAAGUAAUUUAUUAAAUUUGUAACCGAAAUAAAGUUAGUUAUGGACGUAAAGAUGUUUUUUUGUGUUUAACCAUAUCAACAAAUAAGCACUGAGAGUAAAAAUUUAAAGUAAAAUGUUCAAAGCAAUUCCAGAAUUAGAUUUUUAUGGGAACUCUUUUUUUCUUUUUUUCUAGUGACUCACGUCCGGAACAGCAGAGGCAAAGAAUUGUUGGUUUUGAAUGGCUUCACUUUCUACUGUCGCAAGGUUUCCACCCAGGGAACCAGUGACUCACGUCAGGAACAGCAGAGGCAAAGAAUUGUUGAUUUUGAAUGGCUACACUUUCUACUGCCGUAUAGUUUCCGCUAAAGAGACCAGGUACUGGUACUGCACGCGUGGACACUCAUGUAACGCCAGAAACAACGAAUCCAAGGAUGGCACCAUUUCAAGGCCAAAGUUGGAUCAUACACACCCACCGCCGCGAUUCAUCAUUCGGAAUCUUUAUCUUAAGAUCUGAUACCUUUAUACAAUCUUGAUUUUUCUUUUAUUAUGAUUUUGUUAGGAAGGAUAGAUUUUUUUAUAUACAUUUAUGAAAUUACAUAGCUUUGCUCAGUUUUACGCCCUAAUCUAGGCACGAAAAAAAAACAGUAAAAACACUAUAAACUACAAUUACCAAAUUGAAUUAAAGAUAGGAAUUGCUUCGUCAAAGAAUAAGUCUGAAAUAAUACACGAGUUACAAGACUUGUUAAACUAGAUCGAUAGUUAUGUUGGUUUAAGAGCCCUUAAUCCUUGGAGCGUUCUCCGAUUUCACGAAAUAACGCUCGAUAGAUGGCGUUGGCGCUCGGUACGCGAGCGCCGGCAACGCGACGCGCGUUUCAAUGCAGACUAGAAUAAUCUUGAUAGUUUUCAAUAUAAUUUCAAGCAACA